Molecule: unclassified non-coding RNA, 21 nt
Filed under: Mus musculus (house mouse)
Lineage: Eukaryota; Metazoa; Chordata; Mammalia; Rodentia; Muridae
Description: oocyte_clustered_small_RNA9862
Source: RNAcentral
UACGCAGCCGAGCUGAGCAGG